CAGUAGCCGCGGUAAUACGUAGGUGGCACGCGUUGUCCGGAAUUAUUGGGCGUAAAGGGCUCGCAGGCGGUUUCUUAAGUCUGAUGUGAAAGCCCCCGGCUCAACCGGGGAGGGUCAUUGGAAACUGGGAAACUUGAGUGCAGAAGAGGAGAGUGGAAUUCCACGUGUAGCGGUGAAAUGCGUAGAGAUGUGGAGGAACACCAGUGGCGAAGGCGACUCUCUGGUCUGUAACUGACGCUGAGGAGCGAAAGCGUGGGGAGCGAACAGGAUUAGAUACCCCUGUAGUCCCUGUCUCUUAUAC
This 301-nucleotide ribosomal RNA is filed under the name uncultured bacterium. Its description in RNAcentral is "partial 16S ribosomal RNA". It matches the Rfam family "Bacterial small subunit ribosomal RNA", at positions 509 to 807 of the family's 1533-position model. The record is from RNAcentral.